ACUACGGAGGGGAACUGCAGAGCCAGAAGAGCACGGAGCAGCAACUCGCAGCCCAAUUGGUGACGCUGCAGAAUGAACUGGAGCUGGCGGAGACCAAAUGCGCCUUGCAGGAGGAGAAGCUGCAGCAGGACGCGCUGCAGACAGCGGAGGCCUGGGCCAUAUUCCAGGAGCAGACCGUAGUCCUGCAGGAGGUGCAGGUGAAGGUGAUGGAGGCUGCGGAGGAGCUGGACGCCUGGCAGAGUGGCCGGGAACUGUGUGACGGGCAGCUUCGCAGAGUGCAGUACAGCACCGAGUCGCUCAUGGAGGAGAUGGCCAGGGCGGACCGAGAGACGCGGCUGUUCGGCGGUCCUCGCGCGCUGGCCAUCAGGCGCUGCUGACGCUGCCGCUCCUCUUCCUGGGGCUGUCGCUGCUCUGGACGGUGCUGUUGGACCCCGGCGCCGUCUCCGCGUGGCUCUGGAGCCUCACCUCGGAGACGACGCUGCGCCGCCUGCGCUACACGCUGUCCCCGCUGCUGGAGCUGCGCGCUAACGGGCUGCUGCCAACCUAAGUGCAGCGCCCCGCGCCUGGCUCCAGGUGGACUCCAGGGCACCGGCUUUAUUUCUGGUGCACUCCUCUCCUGAGAGUGUAGACCAAGGUCGCCUAAUAAACUCCUCAAGGGAUGAA
This 663-nucleotide long non-coding RNA is filed under the name Homo sapiens (human). RNAcentral describes it as "non-protein coding lnc-SERPIND1-1:57". Lineage: Eukaryota; Metazoa; Chordata; Mammalia; Primates; Hominidae. The record is from RNAcentral.